GAGUGGCGGACGGGUGAGUAACACGUAGGUAACCUGCCCAGAAGCGGGGGACAACAUUUGGAAACAGAUGCUAAUACCGCAUAACAGCGUUGUUCGCAUGAACAACGCUUAAAAGAUGGCUUCUCGCUAUCACUUCUGGAUGGACCUGCGGUGCAUUAGCUUGUUGGUGGGGUAACGGCCUACCAAGGCGAUGAUGCAUAGCCGAGUUGAGAGACUGAUCGGCCACAAUGGGACUGAGACACGGCCCAUACUCCUACGGGAGGCAGCAGUAGGGAAUCUUCCACAAUGGGCGCAAGCCUGAUGGAGCAACACCGCGUGAGUGAAGAAGGGUUUCGGCUCGUAAAGCUCUGUUGUUAAAGAAGAACACGUAUGAGAGUAACUGUUCAUACGUUGACGGUAUUUAACCAGAAAGUCACGGCUAACUACGUGCCAGCAGCCGCGGUAAUACGUAGGUGGCAAGCGUUAUCCGGAUUUAUUGGGCGUAAAGAGAGUGCAGGCGGUUUUCUAAGUCUGAUGUGAAAGCCUUCGGCUUAACCGGAGAAGUGCAUCGGAAACUGGAUAACUUGAGUGCAGAAGAGGGUAGUGGAACUCCAUGUGUAGCGGUGGAAUGCGUAGAUAUAUGGAAGAACACCAGUGGCGAAGGCGGCUACCUGGUCUGCAACUGACGCUGAGACUCGAAAGCAUGGGUAGCGAACAGGAUUAGAUACCCUGGUAGUCCAUGCCGUAAACGAUGAGUGCUAGGUGUUGGAGGGUUUCCGCCCUUCAGUGCCGGAGCUAACGCAUUAAGCACUCCGCCUGGGGAGUACGACCGCAAGGUUGAAACUCAAAGGAAUUGACGGGGGCCCGCACAAGCGGUGGAGCAUGUGGUUUAAUUCGAAGCUACGCGAAGAACCUUACCAGGUCUUGACAUCUUGCGCCAACCCUAGAGAUAGGGCGUUUCCUUCGGGAACGCAAUGACAGGUGGUGCAUGGUCGUCGUCAGCUCGUGUCGUGAGAUGUUGGGUUAAGUCCCGCAACGAGCGCAACCCUUGUUACUAGUUGCCAGCAUUAAGUUGGGCACUCUAGUGAGACUGCCGGUGACAAACCGGAGGAAGGUGGGGACGACGUCAGAUCAUCAUGCCCCUUAUGACCUGGGCUACACACGUGCUACAAUGGACGGUACAACGAGUCGCGAACUCGCGAGGGCAAGCAAAUCUCUUAAAACCGUUCUCAGUUCGGACUGCAGGCUGCAACUCGCCUGCACGAAGUCGGAAUCGCUAGUAAUCGCGGAUCAGCAUGCCGCGGUGAAUACGUUCCCGGGCCUUGUACACACCGCCCGUCACACCAUGAGAGUUU
RNAcentral lists this ribosomal RNA (1334 nucleotides) under Limosilactobacillus fermentum. Its description in RNAcentral is "bacterial SSU rRNA". It matches the Rfam family "Bacterial small subunit ribosomal RNA", at positions 93 to 1413 of the family's 1533-position model. The record is from RNAcentral. Lineage: Bacteria; Bacillati; Bacillota; Bacilli; Lactobacillales; Lactobacillaceae.